AGUGAACGCUGGCGGUAGGCCUAACACAUGCAAGUCGAACGGCAGCACAGUAAGAGCUUGCUCUUACGGGUGGCGAGUGGCGGACGGGUGAGGAAUACAUCGGAAUCUACUUUUUCGUGGGGGAUAACGUAGGGAAACUUACGCUAAUACCGCAUACGACCUACGGGUGAAAGCAGGGGAUCUUCGGACCUUGCGCGAUUGAAUGAGCCGAUGUCGGAUUAGCUAGUUGGGGGGGUAAAGGCCCACCAAGGCGACGAUCCGUAGCUGGUCUGAGAGGAGGAUGAGCCGCAGGGGAGCGUGAACGGCCACCUGGCGCCUGAGAGACGCACCAGUGGGGUAUGGGGGACAAUGGUGGCGAGUUUUGCACAAUCUGCGGGAGUGGGAGAAAAAGACCCUGGGGUUGUAAAGCCGUCCUGUGGGUAAAAAAAAGCUGUAGACUGUUACCCAGCGGGUCUGACGGUACUGGAUAAAGAAGCACCGGCUAACUACGUG
Molecule: ribosomal RNA, 492 nt
Filed under: uncultured bacterium
Lineage: Bacteria
Description: partial 16S ribosomal RNA
Rfam family: Bacterial small subunit ribosomal RNA
Source: RNAcentral